RNAcentral lists this ribosomal RNA (441 nucleotides) under uncultured bacterium. RNAcentral describes it as "partial 16S ribosomal RNA". It matches the Rfam family "Bacterial small subunit ribosomal RNA", at positions 338 to 795 of the family's 1533-position model. The record is from RNAcentral.
CCUACGGGUGGCAGCAGUGGGGAAUAUUGCACAAUGGGGGGAACCCUGAUGCAGCGACGCCGCGUGAGUGAAGAAGUAUUUCGGUAUGUAAAACUCUGUCAGCAGGGAAGAAGAACGACGGUACCUGACCCAGACGCCCCGGCUAACUACGUGCCAGCAGCCGCGGUAAUACGUAGGGGGCAAGCGUUAUCCGGAUUUACUGGGUGUAAAGGGAGCGUAGACGGCAGGGCAAGUCUGGAGUGAAAGGCCGGGGCCCAACCCCUGGACUGCUCUGGAAACUGUCCGGCUGGAGUGCAGGAGAGGUAAGUGGAAUUCCUAGUGUAGCGGUGAAAUGCGUAGAUAUUAGGAGGAACACCAGUGGCGAAGGCGGCUUACUGGACUGUAACUGACGUUGAGGCACGAAAGCGUGGGGAGCAAACAGGAUUAGAUACCCUUGUAGUC